AACCAUCGGCCGGGAAUCGAACCCGGGCGCCCGCGUGGCAGGCGAGCAUUCUACCACUGAACCAAAGGCAAACGGU
RNAcentral lists this transfer RNA (76 nucleotides) under Cordylochernes scorpioides. RNAcentral's name for it is "tRNA-Gly". The record is from RNAcentral. Lineage: Eukaryota; Metazoa; Arthropoda; Arachnida; Pseudoscorpiones; Chernetidae.